This is a long non-coding RNA of Magnolia sinica, 592 nucleotides long. RefSeq lists it as uncharacterized. The record is from RefSeq and is a predicted model, not a curated record. The transcript has 4 exons. Lineage: Eukaryota; Viridiplantae; Streptophyta; Magnoliopsida; Magnoliales; Magnoliaceae.
UUCCGCCUCCCGUGAAAAAAACAAAAAACUCAAAAAUUUCACCUCCCUCCCACUCUCGUCAGAAAAAAAGCCCAAACCCUCCUUUCCCUAAACAUCUCCUCUCUCUUUAUCUCCCCAACCCUCUCUCACGAAUACUCCCCUCUCACGAACCCUCUCUCAUGAAUACUUCCCUCUCACAAACCCCUCUUCUCUCCCUAACCAUCCCCUCUCUCUCAAUCUGAAGAAGACUCCCCUCUCUCACGCCAUAAUCCACAUCCCUGCUGCUCGAUCGUGUCUCAUUUUGUUCCUUUUUAGAAUCCUCAGAUGAUGCCUCUCAAGUAAACGAUGAUGAAAAUGCACUUAUGGGUUUCUUUGAUGACUCCAAAGAGUAUGUGUAAAAUUGCAGAGGAAUCCAUUCAUUGAUCUGCCGAGAACAUAGCACUAGCCAUUGGUGCACUGUGUAUGGUUGUGAAAUGUGAGUUGCUGGUUGUCCCUGCCAGCGAAUUAACAUCUAAGUAAUGUCCAACCUGGCUCUCUAGUUCCCAAUCAAGUAAAUUUAGAACCACCUACCUCUCUAAUUCCUACUUAGAGUGAAAGAAAAACAUUGCUACGU